UGAUCCUGGCUCAGAUUGAACGCUGGCGGCAGGCCUAACACAUGCAAGUCGAACGGUAACAGGAUAGCUUGCUAUCGCUGACGAGUGGCGGACGGGUGAGUAAUACUUAGGGAUCUGCCUCUGUGUGGGGGAUAACUAUUGGAAACGAUAGCUAAUACCGCAUAAUGUCUACGGACCAAAGCGGGCUUCGGCUCGUGCGCAGAGAGGAACCUAAGCGAGAUUAGCUAGUUGGUGAGGUAAAGGCUCACCAAGGCGACGAUCUCUAGCUGUUCUGAGAGGAAGAUCAGCCACACUGGAACUGAGACACGGUCCAGACUCCUACGGGAGGCAGCAGUGGGGAAUAUUGCACAAUGGGGGAAACCCUGAUGCAGCCAUGCCGCGUGUGUGAAGAAGGCCUUCGGGUUGUAAAGCACUUUCAGUUGUGAGGAAAGUUUAGUGGUUAAUACCUGCUAGAUGUGACGUUAGCAACAGAAGAAGCACCGGCUAACUCCGUGCCAGCAGCCGCGGUAAUACGGAGGGUGCGAGCGUUAAUCGGAAUUACUGGGCGUAAAGCGCACGCAGGCGGUCUGUUAAGCUAGAUGUGAAAGCCCCGCGCUCAACGUGGGAGGGUCAUUUAGAACUGGCAGACUAGAGUCUUGGAGAGGGGAGUGGAAUUCCAGGUGUAGCGGUGAAAUGCGUAGAGAUCUGGAGGAACAUCAAUGGCGAAGGCAACUCCCUGGCCAAAGACUGACGCUCAUGUGCGAAAGUGUGGGUAGCGAACAGGAUUAGAUACCCUGGUAGU
This 781-nucleotide ribosomal RNA is filed under the name uncultured marine bacterium. Its description in RNAcentral is "bacterial SSU rRNA". It matches the Rfam family "Bacterial small subunit ribosomal RNA", at positions 14 to 794 of the family's 1533-position model. The record is from RNAcentral.